ACUCAAAUGAAUUGACGGGGACCCGCACAACCGGUGGAGCGUGUGGUUCAAUUCGAGACGAAGCGAAGCACCUUACCAGGGUUUGACAUAGUACCGUUUUAUACCUUUGGAAACAUGGGUAGAUCUCGCAAGAGAUGGUAUUACAGGUGUUGCAUGGCUGUCGUCAGCUCGUGCCGUGAGGUGUUCCCUUAAGUGGGGAAACGAGCGCAACCCCCAUCUAAUGUUAGAUAUUCAUUAGAGACUGCUCUAGUUUUACUAGGGAGGAAGGAGGGGAAGACGUCAAGUCCGCACGGCCCUUAUACCCUGGGUCACACACACCCUACAAUGGCGAAAAACAACGUGUUGCAAGCCGGCAACGGCAAGCGAAUCACUGAAAUUUCGCCUCAGUUCAGAUUGGGGUCUGCAACCCGACCCCAUGAAGUCGGAAUCGGUAGUAAUCGCGGAUCAGCAGGCCGCGGUGAAUACGUUCUCGGGUCUUGUACACACCGCCCGU
RNAcentral lists this ribosomal RNA (493 nucleotides) under uncultured bacterium. RNAcentral's name for it is "partial 16S ribosomal RNA". It matches the Rfam family "Bacterial small subunit ribosomal RNA", at positions 899 to 1397 of the family's 1533-position model. The record is from RNAcentral.